AGCAGCCGCGCCAGCCUCAUGCCGAGUCCCGCUAGAGAAGCCACAGCCAGUACGCCAGGUUUCCCCGCGCCUCUGCCGAGUGGGUUGAAGGCAAAUACUUGAAGUUGCAAUCGAAGGUCAAGAAAAUGGAAUCAAGAGGUCACAAUCCUUCUCUGAUGAUGGCUUAGAAAGCUGGAAGACACUCAACAUUGAAUCCUGGGGCUCUGUGCCAUGCUUGCUAGGAGAAACAGCCACCAUGAGUCCAUCUUUCAGAUCUCAAGUGAACAGUCAUUCUCCAGCUGGGAUUGAGAACAAGGGGAAGCUGGCCAUAGAGCCAGGUGACCAAAGAUGGAAGACAAAGGGUGGGCUGUGAUUCCCAGAGCUCCAAGCCUUGUUCUGUCUUGUCACACCAACUGUUACUGAUGAACAGGACAGAGAGUCACUGUGAUUGCCUACUUUGAAAUGGUUCAGAGCCAGUCACUGCCUUUCCUACAGGCAUAUACCAAAUCUACAUUCACCACAAAAACUGGGCUUGUGAAAGCAUGUGAGAACUUUUGGCUGAUGAAUACAAGAUACGCUCAUUCAUUCUCUUCAUUGCUAUGAAAUGAGUUUUUCCACAACCUCCUGCAGAACCUCAACACAUCACUAGGUGGCAACAUCCCUACACCAUAUCGGUUUAGAAACCACGGUUAGGAGGAGCAGCAAAACACGCGGCAUCCCAGUAUGAUUCAGAAGUAAAGUUUACAAUCUUUGAGGCCUGGCUGACUCAUGGAACAACUAGGACAAGAAACAAAGACAAAGAACACACACCUGACUGGACAGAGAUAAACCAAGAGCUGAGAGUUUUGGAAACAAGGCUGGAGCUGAGGAAAAGGACUGGGAACACGAACCUGUACAAACAACAAAUUCUUACAACAGAAAACAAGCCACUCCUGGCCAUCAAGAAACCCACAAAUCUCAGAAGCAAAAGCAAAACAAAUGAAAAUACAAACCAAAUAGUCUCUAUUACCUUCAUGCCUGUUGGGUCCCAAUAAAGGAAUCAUUCCAAUAAA
Molecule: long non-coding RNA, 1031 nt
Filed under: Homo sapiens (human)
Lineage: Eukaryota; Metazoa; Chordata; Mammalia; Primates; Hominidae
Description: HSALNT0307198
Source: RNAcentral